UACGAAGGGGGCUAGCGUUGUUCGGAAUCACUGGGCAUAAAGCGCACGUAGGCGGAUCUUUAAGUCAGGGGUGAAAUCCCGAGGCUCAACCUCGGAACUGCCUUUGAUACUGGGGAUCUCGAGUCCGGGAGAGGUGAGUGGAACUGCGAGUGUAGAGGUGAAAUUCGUAGAUAUUCGCAAGAACACCAGUGGCGAAGGCGGCUCACUGGCCCGGAACUGACGCUGAGGUGCGAAAGCGUGGGGAGCAAACAGG
This 253-nucleotide ribosomal RNA is filed under the name uncultured bacterium. RNAcentral describes it as "partial 16S ribosomal RNA". It matches the Rfam family "Bacterial small subunit ribosomal RNA", at positions 524 to 776 of the family's 1533-position model. The record is from RNAcentral.